UACGUAGGGGGCGAGCGUUGUCCGGAUUUAUUGGGCGUAAAGAGCUCGUAGGCGGUUUGGUAAGUUGGAUGUGAAAUCUCCAGGCUCAACUUGGAGGGGUCAUUCGAUACUGCCAUGACUAGAGUUCGGUAGGGGAGUGUGGAAUUCCUGGUGGAGCGGUGAAAUGCGCAGAUAUCAGGAGGAACACCCGUAGCGAAGGCGGCACUCUGGGCCGGAGCUGACGCUGAGGAGCGAAAGCGUGGGGAGCGAACAGG
This 254-nucleotide ribosomal RNA is filed under the name uncultured bacterium. Its description in RNAcentral is "partial 16S ribosomal RNA". It matches the Rfam family "Bacterial small subunit ribosomal RNA", at positions 524 to 776 of the family's 1533-position model. The record is from RNAcentral.